AUGGCGCCCGAGGUGCACCUCGACCCCGUCGUCGACCCAGCCGCUGCCGGCGAGCAGCAGCAACCAGCAGAGUCCGCCCCGGUGCUCCUUGCCGCCUCCGCCUCUGCCUCUGGGCCAGCUUUGCCUCUGCCGGCCUCUCCCUGCACUAGCAGGCCUUGGCCCAAUGUAACAUCGUGUUGUGAGGAUUCGUUCGACUACAUCCGUUUGUCUUCUUCAUGGACUCGUUAUUCUUCCUUGCGGGAUCUCAGGAACCAAGCUCAGGAGGAGCUCGAUGAAGAUCUUGUCCUUUGUGUUGUUUCGUUCUAG
This 306-nucleotide ribosomal RNA is filed under the name Triticum aestivum (bread wheat). RNAcentral's name for it is "partial small subunit ribosomal RNA". The record is from RNAcentral. Lineage: Eukaryota; Viridiplantae; Streptophyta; Magnoliopsida; Poales; Poaceae.